RNAcentral lists this ribosomal RNA (513 nucleotides) under uncultured bacterium. RNAcentral's name for it is "partial 16S ribosomal RNA". It matches the Rfam family "Bacterial small subunit ribosomal RNA", at positions 28 to 523 of the family's 1533-position model. The record is from RNAcentral.
GACGAACGCUGGCGGCAUGCCUAAUACAUGCAAGUCGAGCGAACAGAUGAAGUGCUUGCACUUUUGACGUUAGCGGCGAACGGGUGAGUAACACGUAAGGAAUCUACCUAUAAGCGGGGGAUAACAUUCGGAAACGGGUGCUAAUACCGCAUAAUAUCUUCUUCCGCAUGGAAGAAGAUUGAAAGACGGCUCUGCUGUCACUUAUAGAUGACCUUGCGGUGCAUUAGUUAGUUGGUGGGGUAACGGCCUACCAAGACGAUGAUGCAUAGCCGACCUGAGAGGGUGAGCGGCCACAUUGGGACUGAGACACGGCCCAAACUCCUACGGGAGGCAGCAGUAGGGAAUCUUCCGCAAUGGGCGAAAGCCUGACGGAGCAAUGCCGCGUGAGUGAAGAAGGCCUUCGGGUCGUAAAACUCUGUUAUAAGAGAAGAACAAAUUGUAGAGUAACUGCUACAGUCUUGACGGUAUCUUAUCAGAAAGCCACGGCUAACUACGUGCCAGCAGCCGCCGUAA